UGUAUCCGACCUUAUGUUGUCGCGUUUCAUCAACUAGGGUACGUGCUGUAAGUUUUACCUGAAACUUUUAGGUUUACACUUAAGGCGAUUGUCGGGUUCGGACCAAGAAUUAUUGGUUAUUUUUUAAUAAAAUUUUCGAAAACCAAUUAGGUUUCGUAGCGGCUUGGGUCACAUUCAGAUGGGGCGUGUAAAUAGACCACUCUGAGUUGUCCAAGCUAAUUUAAUCUCCUCGUU
Molecule: non-coding RNA, 234 nt
Organism: Cinara cedri
Lineage: Eukaryota; Metazoa; Arthropoda; Insecta; Hemiptera; Aphididae
Source: the annotation of a GenBank genome assembly